UGGGGGAUAUUGCACAAUGGAGGAAACUCUGAUGCAGCGACGCCGCGUGAGGGAAGAAGGUUUUCGGAUUGUAAACCUCUGUCUUCGGUGACGAAAAUGACGGUAGCCGAGGAGGAAGCCACGGCUAACUACGUGCCAGCAGCCGCGGUAAUACGUAGGUGGCAAGCGUUGUCCGGAAUUACUGGGUGUAAAGGGAGCGUAGGCGGGAGUGCAAGUCGGCUGUCUAAACUAUGGGCUCAACCCAUAAUCGCGGCCGAAACUGUACUUCUUGAGUGAAGUAGAGGUAAGCGGAAUUCCUAGUGUAGCGGUGAAAUGCGUAAAUAUUAGGAGGAACACCAGUGGCGAAGGCGGCUUACUGGGCUUUAACUGACGCUGAGGCUCGAAAGCGUGGGUAGCAAACAGG
This 403-nucleotide ribosomal RNA is filed under the name uncultured Oscillospiraceae bacterium. Its description in RNAcentral is "bacterial SSU rRNA". It matches the Rfam family "Bacterial small subunit ribosomal RNA", at positions 355 to 776 of the family's 1533-position model. Lineage: Bacteria; Bacillati; Bacillota; Clostridia; Eubacteriales; Oscillospiraceae. The record is from RNAcentral.